RNAcentral lists this ribosomal RNA (497 nucleotides) under uncultured bacterium. Its description in RNAcentral is "partial 16S ribosomal RNA". It matches the Rfam family "Bacterial small subunit ribosomal RNA", at positions 28 to 507 of the family's 1533-position model. The record is from RNAcentral.
GAUGAACGCUGGCGGCGUGCCUAAUACAUGCCAGUCGAGCGAACGGACGAGAAGCUUGCUUCUCUGAUGUUAGCGGCGGACGGGUGAGUAACACGUGGAUAACCUACCUCUAAGACUGGGAUAACUUCGGGAAACCGGAGCUAAUACCGGAUGAUAUUUUGAACCGCAUGGUUCAAAAGUGAAAGACGGUCUUGCUGUCACUUAUAGAUGGAUCCGCGCUGCAUUAGCUAGUUGGUAAGGUAACGGCUUACCAAGGCAACGAUGCAUAGCCGACCUGAGAGGGGGAUCGGCCACACUGGAACGGAGAAACGGUCCAGACUCCUACGGGAGGCAGCAGUAGGGAAUCUUCCGCAAUGGGCGAAAGCCUGACGGAGCAACGCCGCGUGAGUGAUGAAGGUCUUCGGAUCGUAAAACUCUGUUAUUAGGGAAGAACAUAUGUGUAAGUAACUGUGCACAUCUUGACGGUACCUAAUCAGAAAGCCACGGCUAACUACGUG